AAUGUAGAGGCUGCGGCAAUCAUCAGUAGCAUUUCGUAUGAGCUCCCGCUCAGGUGAUGAAAUGUAAAAGGGAAAGCCGCCGAAGCUGACCGGUUCGGGAGGACCGUAAUGCUGGGGCUCAGGUUAACAGCCUGAGAACUGUCAUCUUAUUCAAGAUGGAGUGCUACGGUU
RNAcentral lists this non-coding RNA (171 nucleotides) under uncultured Eubacterium sp. Its description in RNAcentral is "Lysine riboswitch". It matches the Rfam family "Lysine riboswitch aptamer". From Rfam's summary of the family: Riboswitches are metabolite binding domains within certain messenger RNAs that serve as precision sensors for their corresponding targets. Allosteric rearrangement of mRNA structure is mediated by ligand binding, and this results in modulation of gene expression. The record is from RNAcentral. Lineage: Bacteria; Bacillati; Bacillota; Clostridia; Eubacteriales; Eubacteriaceae.